AGAGUUGAUCAUGGCUCAGGAUGAACGCUGGCGGCGUGCUUAACACAUGCAAGUCGAACGGAGUUUUAACGGAAGUUUCGGAUGGAAGUUAGAACUUAGUGGCGGACGGGUGAGUAACGCGUGGGUAACCUGCCUCAUACAGGGGGAUAACAGUUAGAAAUGACUGCUAACACCGCAUAAUAUAGCGAAACCGCAUGAUUUUGCUAUCAAAUAUUUAUAGGUAUGAGAUGGGCCCGCGUCUGAUUAGCUAGUUGGUGGGGUAAAGGCCUACCAAGGCGACGAUCAGUAGCCGGCUUGAGAGAGUGACCGGCCACAUUGGGACUGAGACACGGCCCAAACUCCUACGGGAGGCAGCAGUGGGGAAUAUUGGACAAUGGGGGAAACCCUGAUCCAGCGAACCGCCGCGUGAGUGAAGAAGUAUUUCGGUAUGUAAAGCUCUAUCAGCAGGGAAGAUAAUGACAGUACCUGACUAAGAAGCCCCGGCUAACUACGUGCCAGCCGCAGC
RNAcentral lists this ribosomal RNA (505 nucleotides) under uncultured bacterium. Its description in RNAcentral is "bacterial SSU rRNA". It matches the Rfam family "Bacterial small subunit ribosomal RNA", at positions 8 to 518 of the family's 1533-position model. The record is from RNAcentral.